UUGUUGUUGGUUUUAUGACAAGUGUUUUCUGCCCGGUGUUUCUAGGAAUAAACGGCCGCGGUACUCUGACCGUGCAAAGGUAGCGUAGUCACUUGCCCUUUAAUUGUGGGCUGGGAUGAAGGGAAGGACCGUGGGUUUGGCUGUCUCCUUUCUAUUUUUUGAACUUGCUGUCUGUGUGAAGAAGCAUUGUUGGUGAAGAGGGACGAGAAGACCCUGUUAAGCUUUACUUUUGCUUGGUGGUUCUUUGGUGUUUAUGUUGUAUAUUAGGGCUGUUCGUAAAAAGUUUGGUUGGGGUGACCAAAGAAGAUGUGAAUCUUCUUUUUUGUUUUUACUUUCUGUUCAAUUUUGAUCCAAGAUUUUUUGAUUUAAGGAACUAGUUACUACAGGGAUAACAGCGUAAUUUUUUCAUAAAGUUCUUAUUGAAGAGGGAGAUUGCGACCUCGAUGUUGACUUGUUAUACCCUUUUUAGGUGUAGUGGCUGGGAGGGUCGGUCUGUUCGACCGUUAAAAUGACACGUGAGUUGAGUUCAGACCGGCGUGA
This 540-nucleotide ribosomal RNA is filed under the name Lineus albocinctus. Its description in RNAcentral is "partial 16S ribosomal RNA". It matches the Rfam family "Bacterial large subunit ribosomal RNA", at positions 1831 to 2624 of the family's 2925-position model. The record is from RNAcentral. Lineage: Eukaryota; Metazoa; Nemertea; Pilidiophora; Heteronemertea; Lineidae.